CCUACGGGUGGCAGCAGUGGGGAAUAUUGGACAAUGGGCGAAAGCCUGAUCCAGCCAUGCCGCGUGUGUGAAGAAGGCCUUCGGGUUGUAAAGCACUUUCAGUGGGGAAGAAAGCCUUGGGGCUAAUACCCUCGAGGAAGGACAUCACCCACAGAAGAAGCACCGGCUAACUCCGUGCCAGCAGCAGCGGUAAUACGGAGGGUGCGAGCGUUAAUCGGAAUUACUGGGCGUAAAGCGCGCGUAGGCGGUCUGAUAAGCCGGUUGUGAAAGCCCCGGGCUCAACCUGGGAACGGCAUCCGGAACUGUCAGGCUAGAGUGCAGGAGAGGAAGGUAGAAUUCCCGGUGUAGCGGUGAAAUGCGUAGAGAUCGGGAGGAAUACCAGUGGCGAAGGCGGCCUUCUGGACUGACACUGACGCUGAGGUGCGAAAGCGUGGGUAGCAAACAGGAUUAGAUACCCCUGUAGUC
RNAcentral lists this ribosomal RNA (465 nucleotides) under Vreelandella stevensii. RNAcentral describes it as "partial 16S ribosomal RNA". It matches the Rfam family "Bacterial small subunit ribosomal RNA", at positions 338 to 795 of the family's 1533-position model. The record is from RNAcentral. Lineage: Bacteria; Pseudomonadati; Pseudomonadota; Gammaproteobacteria; Oceanospirillales; Halomonadaceae.